RNAcentral lists this ribosomal RNA (465 nucleotides) under Vreelandella stevensii. RNAcentral describes it as "partial 16S ribosomal RNA". It matches the Rfam family "Bacterial small subunit ribosomal RNA", at positions 338 to 795 of the family's 1533-position model. Lineage: Bacteria; Pseudomonadati; Pseudomonadota; Gammaproteobacteria; Oceanospirillales; Halomonadaceae. The record is from RNAcentral.
CCUACGUGGUGCAGCAGUGGGGAAUAUUGGACAAUGGGCGAAAGCCUGAUCCAGCCAUGCCGCGUGUGUGAAGAAGGCCUUCGGGUUGUAAAGCACUUUCAGUGGGGAAGAAAGCCUUGGGGCUAAUACCCUCGAGGAAGGACAUCACCCACAGAAGAAGCACCGGCUAACUCCGUGCCAGCAGCCGCGGUAAUACGGAGGGUGCGAGCGUUAAUCGGAAUUACUGGGCGUAAAGCGCGCGUAGGCGGUCUGAUAAGCCGGUUGUGAAAGCCCCGGGCUCAACCUGGGAACGGCAUCCGGAACUGUCAGGCUAGAGUGCAGGAGAGGAAGGUAGAAUUCCCGGUGUAGCGGUGAAAUGCGUAGAGAUCGGGAGGAAUACCAGUGGCGAAGGCGGCCUUCUGGACUGACACUGACGCUGAGGUGCGAAAGCGUGGGUAGCAAACAGGAUUAGAUACCCUGGUAGUC